GAUCUAGCUCUUCCCAUUUGCCUGUAGGCAUCGAAUACGGAAACAACAGUGGUUAAACGCAUGAUUCUUUUGGCGGAUUGGAGCUCGCUAGAAGACAUCCCACUGAAGGGCACGAGGUGCCUACAUAUUGGAAGCUUCCUGGCUACAGCUGGCUUAUCACGAUCACGUACAUACAAGAGUUGUCACCACGAUUCUCCAUGUUAGUAUACUCUUAGAUAUAGUGUGUUUGCGUUGGCGAAAUGUGGUAAUUUGUUUUAAACGGCAUUUAUCUAUAUUGUACUCCUUUUAUUUUAUAUCCGCCUAUCAUCGAUUGUGCAUUAUCGCUCGAACGGUUCAAAGCUCUCAUUGUUAGUAGUGUCUUCUCUGUCAUAGUGUUUUAUAAUUAAUGGUUAAUUAAAUAAGUGUUAUAUUACAAUAUAAAGAGCCACCAGCCACGAUAAUGUAAGAAAUGAUAAAGAGCUUAUAAAUUCUAUUUUGCCGAACUAAGUAUUGUUAUACUGUCAACAUUCGCACACAACGUUUUUUACAGAUAUACGUUUAGGAAAUUAUAGUUUCAAGAUUUAUCAACAGUUUUAUUUUAUUCUAAAAAUUCGAGAAGUUGAAAUCGAUUUCCUUAGGGGAGAACGGGUGAACUUCUCGAAAUCACAAGAAUUAAAUAUUUUAAUAAAUUAUACCGAAAGUAAGUUUACUUUAUGCUUACACCCGAGAGUUUAAGCCAGAAAUUUGUAUAUAUUACAUUAAUAAGUUGGAUGAACAUUCGCUUAAUAAUUCUAGACCUCCUUUAGGUGAGUGCAAUUCCCCCGCUUUCCCCUUCUUUAUAAAAAAGGCGAAAAUAAGCGAAUACCUAAUUGCUUCUUUCUACCUUCAGUGAUAUUUUUAACACAGAGCGCAUAGCCGUACGGUUAUUUGUGCUUGACAUAUUAUUAAUUAUGAUGUUAUAAAAAACAGCAAAGAAAAGCGAAUUUAAACGACGAUGCGCUCAUUAGGAAAAUCAAAUUUCUACUUAAUAAUUUAUAAUAUAGAUAGGGUUUACAUAGCAAUUUGCUCAUGUUAGUCACUCACUAACGUUAUUAGAUUUUCAUUGAAAACGGAAAGUAACGUGCUUGACCUAUUUAUACACAAAAGUAUACUUGCAUGAAGACAAUUUUCAAGUAAAUAUUGCUGUGGAAUGCGUGGUCAAAAUACCCACGAACCUAAUAACACUGGGAUGUAACGGCAAACUAGGUAGUUUUAUUAAUUUUUAACCUGCAGAAUAUAGUAAAAAACAUGAAGCGAAAUUUACUGCUAUGUGGUAGUAAAGUUUGCCUGCUUCAAGGUAAAAAUUUCUGUGAUUUCUGGGAAAAAAGAAUAAAAACUGUACUAACGGGACAAAGCGGACAGGACAGUAGACGUGAUUGUUUCAGGUUAGCUAGUACUUGGGGCCUUGAUGACACCUGCGCGCUGCUACGAACCAAAGUUUUGCAAUUGUGAUCGAUCGUUUACCGCUACAUCUAGUUAAAAUUUAUACGACUCCGCAGGAACAUUUGUGUGAAAUCUAGCAAAUUCUCUGUUGCUUUGCAGCGUCAACCUAAAAUACUGUUCUACGGAAGUGGAAUAAAAACAUGGAAAAUAAUUAUCAAUGCGAGCGAGUUUAUUGCGAGGACUAAAUGUAUUAACGAUUUCUCUUUGACUUUGACUUAGCUUUCGAUGAAUUUGUAAACACGACGUUAGCGAAGAAAAGCGAACAGUAUAUCUGAAUAAUAGUGUAAGUGGCAAAGUAUAAUUUCGACGCAUAAAAAUAAUAUACAACAUCUAA
Cephus cinctus (wheat stem sawfly) is the source of this 1795-nucleotide long non-coding RNA. RefSeq lists it as uncharacterized. Lineage: Eukaryota; Metazoa; Arthropoda; Insecta; Hymenoptera; Cephidae. The transcript has 2 exons. The record is from RefSeq and is a predicted model, not a curated record.